UCGAAUCGCAUGGCCUUGCGCCGGCGAUGGUUCAUUCAAAUUUCUGCCCUAUCAACUUUCGAUGGUAGGAUAGUGGCCUACCAUGGUGGCAACGGGUAACGGGGAAUUAGGGUUCGAUUCCGGAGAGGGAGCCUGAGAAACGGCUACCACAUCCAAGGAAGGCAGCAGGCGCGCAAAUUACCCAAUCCCGAUACGGGGAGGUAGUGACAAUAAAUACUGAUACAGGGCUCUUUUGGGUCUUGUAAUUGGAAUGAGAACAAUCUAAAUCCCUUAACGAGGAACAAUUGGAGGGCAAGUCUGGUGCCAGCAGCCGCGGUAAUUCCAGCUCCAAUAGCGUAUAUUAAAGUUGUUGCAGUUAAAAAGCUCGUAGUUGAACCUUGGGCCCGUCCUGCCGGUCCGCCUCACCGCGAGUACUGGUCCGGAUGGGCCUUUCUUUCUGGGGAAUCCCAUGGCCUUCACUGGCUGUGGCGGGGAACCAGGACUUUUACUGUGAAAAAAUUAGAGUGUUCAAAGCAGGCCUUUGCUCGGAUACAUUAGCAUGGAAUAAUAGAAUAGGACGUGCGGUUCUAUUUUGUUGGUUUCUAGGACCGCCGUAAUGAUUAAUAGGGAUAGUCGGGGGCGUCAGUAUUCAGCUGUCAGAGGUGAAAUUCUUGGAUUUGCUGAAGACUAACUACUGCGAAAGCAUUCGCCAAGGAUGUUUUCAUUAAUCAGGGAACGAAAGUUAGGGGAUCGAAGACGAUCAGAUACCGUCGUAGUCUUAACCAUAAACUAUGCCGACUAGGGAUCGGGCGGGGUUUCUAUGAUGACCCGCUCGGCACCUUUACGAGAAAUCAAAGUUUUUGGGGUUCUGGGGGGGGAGUAUGGU
This 865-nucleotide ribosomal RNA is filed under the name uncultured eukaryote. RNAcentral describes it as "SSU rRNA". It matches the Rfam family "Eukaryotic small subunit ribosomal RNA", at positions 260 to 1129 of the family's 1831-position model. The record is from RNAcentral.